Cydia pomonella (codling moth) is the source of this 1892-nucleotide long non-coding RNA. RefSeq lists it as uncharacterized. The record is from RefSeq and is a predicted model, not a curated record. NCBI's taxonomy places the organism in Eukaryota, Metazoa, Arthropoda, Insecta, Lepidoptera, Tortricidae. The transcript has 2 exons.
CACUCGCACGAGCAGUGCGCGCGCGCCGCGCUGCGUGCGCUCGCGCUCAUGGGGCUGGACGCGCCGCCGCAGCCCGCCGCGUGAGUACUGUCCCUACUGUCCCUGGCGACGGAGCCGCCGGUGAUGUGCCACGGCGGCGGGCCGUCCACACAGCACUCGCACGAGCAGUGCGCGCGCGCCGCGCUGCGUGCGCUCGCGCUCAUGGGGCUGGACGCGCCGCCGCAGCCCGCCGCGACAAACAGCCUGCCCGGCAGCAAGCCGGCGCUCAGCAACGGCGUGGCCGAGUGAGGUCCGACUGAGGUCCACACGCUCAACCCGACUAGUUCGUGUUCUCCUCUCGAUUAUUUGCAAUAUUGUCGUGAAUAUUUCACAGCGCGAAAUAAAAAGUUCGGGACGACUUCUACGAUAUAUAAAAUAUAUUAAUCGCAUAUUUCUAGCUAUGAUAUAUUCACUAUGACUUUUUCUUUGAUCUCGGGUAUUGUAACAGGCUAGUUUUCUGAAACGAAAUCGCGUUUUCCUAUUAUUUUAGUUUUACCUUGUAUAUUUUUGUUAUACGUUACGGUCCCAGGAGGGCUAUUUUAAGUUUAAUUGUUCUCGAACGCUUACGAACCGCCGCUCACAAACUAGCCGUAUAAUUUUAUAUACCGUUCGUUUAUGUUAUACAUUUUGUUAUCGACCACUGUUCCGUUUACACGGCUGCGCGUCUCGAUGUUAUAUGAUAGUUUCAAUUGAUUCAUAAUUAUAUACCCGCCACAUACUUAUAUAAAUUGGGUUAUAAAAUAUAGUUGAUUUAUACUAGGUAGUAAUCAAGACAUAAAAUAUUAAUAAAAUUACGUAGGAACGAAUAUUGUAACGAAACUGAGGCUGUGGAGCCAAACCAAAAGUUCGGUUCGGUUUGCGGCGAGGCCGGCCCGAGCAGCGGGCGAGGCCGGCCCGAGCAGCGGGCGAGGCCGGCCCGAGCAGCGAGCGCGGCCUCGCCGCCGACGCGCUAACGUUGCAUCAUGCGGCCAUGGUGUCUCCUUAGUUGUAGCAGUCGUAAUCGCCGCAGUCCUCCGCCGACGAGUGCGGCGAUUAAACUUGUGGCCUCGAUUUUAAACCACUCCAGUGAGUGAGCGUUUCAAGUCUCCCGCGACCCUAAGCUAUGAAAUGUGUAAUUCUAGACGUAAGGAUCACUCCGCGUGAGCGACCGUAUCGGUGGCCGCCGACCCGACCGACGUAGGCUAAGGUUGAAGGUGUCUGUAAUUUUAGGCUCUGUAACCUAUAUCUAACGCAUAUACCCGUAUUUAGCGUAGUGUUUGAUUAAUCGCAUUCAUAGCAUGAUUGUUCUUUCUAGGUGUAAAAAUAUCAUAAGUGUGAAUACAAUUGAUCGGUGAUUGUGACGUUAAUUUGUUUGUUUUGACGUGACGCCCGCCGGGACUAGGGACCGAUCAGUUGUAUCGUAUGGCUUGUACCGAUUGUACAUUUCAUUGUAUUGGGUCUGACGACGGCUGUAGGGUGUCGCGGAUGCUCGGCUUACACGCCCGCGUCGGUCGAACAGUUUUACGUCGAGUAAAACACGGCAACCCGCUGUAAGCCGACUGCGAGCCGCGACCGAGUAAGUUCUAUUCACAUUCUUGUACUUUACUAAUCGUAUAUAUAUUUAUAUACAAACGAUUUUUAAUCGAGGCCAUUUAAACGAUUUCUUCAUGUAGAAAGUUGCACAAGUGACUAAACAUUAAGAAGUUAUUAUUUGACAAAGAAAAAUGCCACAAGGGCUUUAAGAAGUGUUUUUAUUUAUUUUGUUCUAAGGAACUAAUAUUUAUAUUAUUUGAGUGGAGCAAGUCCCAACUGAACUUCGUGCUGUUAGCAACUUAACAUAUAAGUAUUCAACAAUAAAAGUUAUUAAACUUAAA